UUUGAAAAAAAAUUAAAGAGAAGUAAAAAUAAAUCAACAGUGCUUUAUACAAUUAUCCAACCCUACUCUUAAUUCAAACGCUAUUAUCAAGAGCUAAAAACAAAAUAGAAUCUCUGCGACUCAUACAGUGUUUCAAGGCUAUACUGGACACUAUCAAAACAGACAAGUAUGUUUAUUUUAGGUUUCAUUUGGUAUUCCGGGUGUAUACUCUGUUAAGGAGAUCCAGCUUGUUUAGAAAAAUGCCUUUAUAACUGUACGAAAUCACAGGUCGACAACAACUGGUCGCAAUUAUGAAUGCUAAACACCCGCUAGUCGUCUGUAAUUAAUUUGAAGAUAAUGUGUUCCGUGGACCGCCAAACUUAACACUAUUAUUGCGCAAAUAGAGCGUCUGCAUCCUAUCCAUCCUAUCACAUAAGGGUAAUAUCAAUAUAAGGUUAACGCUAAGUCUUCUGAACAUAUUUCACGGCUAACGUUAGCCCGGUGAGGUACCAGAGCUAGCUAAUAAACACAGGCUAAACGUGCUAAUAUGAGGAAGGAGCGCUACAUCAGAUGAUGUAUUGCUGAAAGAGUUCCUUUCAAUGUCAAUCUCAACCGAGCCCCUGCCUUCCUCUGUGACCUCUGACCCCAGACUUGUUAUGUGAACCUCCAGCC
Long non-coding RNA from Cheilinus undulatus (humphead wrasse), 651 nucleotides. RefSeq lists it as uncharacterized. NCBI's taxonomy places the organism in Eukaryota, Metazoa, Chordata, Actinopteri, Labriformes, Labridae. The record is from RefSeq and is a predicted model, not a curated record. The transcript has 3 exons.